Molecule: ribosomal RNA, 253 nt
Filed under: uncultured bacterium
Lineage: Bacteria
Description: partial 16S ribosomal RNA
Rfam family: Bacterial small subunit ribosomal RNA
Source: RNAcentral
UACGAGGGGGGCGAGCGUUGUUCGGAAUUAUUGGGCGUAAAGGGUGCGUAGGCGGUUUGGUAAGUCUUGUGUGAAAUCUACAGGCUCAACUUGUAGUCUGCACGAGAAACUGCCGGGCUUGAGUGUGGGAGAGGUGAGUGGAAUUCCUGGUGUAGCGGUGAAAUGCGUAGAUAUCAGGAGGAACACCUGUGGCGAAAGCGGCUCACUGGACCAUAACUGACGCUGAUGCACGAAAGCUAGGGGAGUAAACAGG